GAUGAACGCUGGCGGCGUGCCUAAUACAUGCAAGUCGAGCGAACGGACGAGAAGCUUGCUUCUCUGAUGUUAGCGGCGGACGGGUGAGUAACACGUGGAUAACCUACCUAUAAGACUGGGAUAACUUCGGGAAACCGGAGCUAAUACCGGAUGAUAUUUUGAACCGCAUGGUUCAAAAGUGAAAGACGGUCUUGCUGUCACUUAUAGAUGGAUCCGCGCUGCAUUAGCUAGUUGGUAAGGUAACGGCUUACCAAGGCAACGAUGCAUAGCCGACCUGAGAGGGUGAUCGGCCACACUGGAACUGAGACACGGUCCAGACUCCUACGGGAGGCAGCAGUAGGGAAUCUUCCGCAAUGGGCGAAAGCCUGACGGAGCAACGCCGCGUGAGUGAUGAAGGUCUUCGGAUCGUAAAACUCUGUUAUUAGGGAAGAACAUAUGUGUAAGUAACUGUGCACAUCUUGACGGUACCUAAUCAGAAAGCCACGGGUUAACUACGUGCCAGCAGCCGCGGUAAUACGUAGGUGGCAAGCGUUAUCCCGGAUUAUUGGGCGUAAAGCGCGCGUAGGCGGUUUUUUAGUCUGAUGUGAAAGCCCACGGCUCAACCGUGGAGGGUCAUUGGAAACUGGAAAACUUGAGUGCAGAAGAGGAAAGUGGAAUUCCAUGUGUAGCGGUGAAAUGCGCAGAGAUAUGGAGGAACACCAGUGGCGAAGGCGACUUUCUGGUCUGUAACUGACGCUGAUGUGCGAAAGCGUGGGGAUCAAACAGGAUUAGAUACCCUGGUAGUCCACGCCGUAAACGAUGAGUGCUAAGUGUUAGGGGGUUUCCGCCCCUUAGUGCUGCAGCUAACGCAUUAAGCACUCCGCCUGGGGAGUACGACCGCAAGGUUGAAACUCAAAGGAAUUGACGGGGACCCGCACAAGCGGUGGAGCAUGUGGUUUAAUUCGAAGCAACGCGAAGAACCUUACCAAAUCUUGACAUCCUUUGACAACUCUAGAGAUAGAGCCUUCCCCUUCGGGGGACAAAGUGACAGGUGGUGCAUGGUUGUCGUCAGCUCGUGUCGUGAGACGUUGGGUUAAGUCCCGCAACGAGCGCAACCCUUAAGCUUAGUUGCCAUCAUUAAGUUGGGCACUCUAAGUUGACUGCCGGUGACAAACCGGAGGAAGGUGGGGAUGACGUCAAAUCAUCAUGCCCCUUAUGAUUUGGGCUACACACGUGCUACAAUGGACAAUACAAAGGGCAGCGAAACCGCGAGGUCAAGCAAAUCCCAUAAAGUUGUUCUCAGUUCGGAUUGUAGUCUGCAACUCGACUACAUGAAGCUGGAAUCGCUAGUAAUCGUAGAUCAGCAUGCUACGGUGAAUACGUUCCCGGGUCU
Molecule: ribosomal RNA, 1372 nt
Filed under: uncultured bacterium
Lineage: Bacteria
Description: bacterial SSU rRNA
Rfam family: Bacterial small subunit ribosomal RNA
Source: RNAcentral